CUGAAAACCAGCAUCUCUCCAUGCAUUUUUUCCCAUACUGGGAGACCGCUGAGGCAUCCUGCUUCAUGGACUUAAUAACUACCAGGUUCUCAACAGCUCCAGUACAAAGACAGCCAUUAUUGGAUUACCCAUGUUCUAGAGGAAUGCCUGAUCACAGGACCUGCUACCUACACUGUCGAGUGUCAUUCUGCCUCCAGAGAUUCUGCACAAAGAGAUCCCACUAAGAAAAUUGCCAAGAUGUGCUUCAGGUAGCGAAAUCCAGCUCGCCUCACCCAAGAAUGCCCUGAGGAACAGAUGCUGAGCUGCUUCCAGACUUGGGACAUAGAUCCAGAGCCAUUGCUAUGACUACAAUUUCUGCAGUUUGAAUCCUGUUUGCUUUAGAGCUGAGAUGCAGACUAAACAUCUGACUGUUUUAAUCUUUGGGACACAGAACUUAUUUUGAUUAAAAGAUUAAUCCACUUA
Molecule: long non-coding RNA, 462 nt
Organism: Myodes glareolus (Bank vole)
Lineage: Eukaryota; Metazoa; Chordata; Mammalia; Rodentia; Cricetidae
Source: RefSeq, a predicted model, not a curated record